UACGGAAGGCAGCAGUGGGGAAUAUUGCACAAUGGGCGCAAGCCUGAUGCAGCCAUGCCGCGUGUAUGAAGAAGGCCUUCGGGUUGUAAAGUACUUUCAGUCGUGAGGAAGGUGUUAAGGUUAAUAACCUUAGCAAUUGACGUUAGCGACAGAAGAAGCACCGGCUAACUCCGUGCCAGCAGCCGCGGUAAUACGGAGGGUGCGAGCGUUAAUCGGAAUUACUGGGCGUAAAGGGCACGCAGGCGGUUAAUUAAGUUGGAUGUGAAUCCCCGGGCUUAACCUGGGAAUGGCAUUCAAGACUGGUUAGCUAGAGUCUUGUAGAGGGGGUAGAAUUCCAUGUGUAGCGGUGAAAUGCGUAGAGAUGUGGAGGAAUACCGGUGGCGAAGGCGGCCCCUGGACAAAGACUGACGCUCAUGUGCGAAAGCGUGGGGAGCGAAAC
Molecule: ribosomal RNA, 439 nt
Filed under: uncultured bacterium
Lineage: Bacteria
Description: bacterial SSU rRNA
Rfam family: Bacterial small subunit ribosomal RNA
Source: RNAcentral